Megalops atlanticus (tarpon) is the source of this 78-nucleotide non-coding RNA. The record is from the annotation of a GenBank genome assembly. Lineage: Eukaryota; Metazoa; Chordata; Actinopteri; Elopiformes; Megalopidae.
AACAGCGUAGCGUAGUGGUAAGGCGCAGGGCUUAUAACCAAAAGGUUGCUAGUUCAAUUCCCUGCCUGGUCACUGCUG